Long non-coding RNA from Agrilus planipennis (emerald ash borer), 629 nucleotides. RefSeq lists it as uncharacterized. Lineage: Eukaryota; Metazoa; Arthropoda; Insecta; Coleoptera; Buprestidae. The transcript has 2 exons. The record is from RefSeq and is a predicted model, not a curated record.
AAUAGUAAAAUCGAGCACGCGCAUUUUAAACGCGGUGAGUGUGUAACGCCGAAGGUAAAUGGUCUGUUAUUAACGCGAAAAUAAGAACAUGAAAGUAUAAAGUCGAUUUAACUUAAUGCAUUAAAGUUUUUCGAAAAUGUUUCAUGAAGAUUUCUUUUACGACUGGUAUUACAAUAUCGACGAAAAAGGACGCUAUUACAAAAAGAAGGCCUAACAGUGGCUAUGGCUUCAUGUGUUCCCCUUAACUGUAAUAUAAAAUUCACGAGACAACAAAUAAGUGGAUUCGCAGACAGAAUAAUUAACAUAUUAAAUGACGAAAAUUGUCGGAGGUUGUUUAGAAAGUUUUUGGAAGAUACAAACGACAGACGGAAACUUACAACCCUGAAAUUUUGGGAAAGGGCACAUUCUGAUAAUUUUGAAGACGAAGACGAAAUUGUCGAGUACAUGCUCGACGUAGACGGUUUCAACGAUGGGCCCUUUUUGUCCAUAACGGAACAUCAACACAAAAUACAAUUUAUAAAGGAAGAAUGUGCUAGGUGUCUUCAAAAUAGAGGAAAAAGAGCGCACGAAAAUUUUGUUAGAUACCUUGAAAAACAUCACAUGCUUGAAUAAAUUAUCCUAUUUUUUUA